RNAcentral lists this ribosomal RNA (279 nucleotides) under uncultured bacterium. Its description in RNAcentral is "partial 16S ribosomal RNA". It matches the Rfam family "Bacterial small subunit ribosomal RNA", at positions 506 to 784 of the family's 1533-position model. The record is from RNAcentral.
UGCCAGCCGCCGCGGUAAUACGGAGGGUGCAAGCGUUGUUCGGAUUUACUGGGCGUAAAGAGCGCGUAGGCGGCUUCAUAAGUUAAGGGUGAAAUCCCGGGGCUUAACUCCGGAACUGCUCUUAAAACUGUGGAGCUAGAGACAAUCAGAGGUGGGUGGAAUUCCAGGUGUAGAGGUGAAAUUCGUAGAUAUCUGGAGGAACACCGGUGGCGAAGGCAGCAGACUGGCGCAUUUCUGACGCUGAGACACGAAAGCGUGGGUAGCAAACAGGAUUAGAUA